CAGUGAUGGGUCUUUAAUAGGGCUGGGAUGUUUCGGCCUGUUCUAGAGUCCUCUCCCUGUACAAGUCGCCCUUAUCUCUAUCUCUGUUUUCACGUCGGUUGAAUAUCACAAAUCAAACUGAAAUAGAGAGGAAGGAAAACGUGAUUUUUCAGAGAUUUGGUGAUCAUCCAGCGCAGCAUAGAGCGAGAUCAGGUGUGUGCCGAGACGAAAGAGAAUAGAAAGAGAAGGGAGUUUGGUCUGCAACAGAAGAGAAGAGAAGAGAAGAGGACAGAGUACCUUCUUCUUGGCGAAUUUCUACAGCCGACAAGUCAGUGCCCCGCCUCAGAUUAAGUCUCUGCCUCUUUCUUUCAUCUUAAGUGUGGUUGUGCAGUCAUAGAAUUCGUAGCUUUCUGCUAUAGGAUUUGUAGAAGUAGAGAUACAUGUGGGAAACGAUAGAGAUCUGAAGAGGUGAAAGAGUUCGCAUAGGUGCGGAUUUCCCUCUAUUCAGGUUUUAUUUUAAGAACAGCUUAGUACAGUGGACUGACUUGGCACAAUUCGACCUCGCCAUCAUCAUGUGUUGUUCAGAUUUUAUUUGAAUCUGCUAGGGGCUUGAUUUAUGUGAAAAGACUAAAAAGAGUUUUGCUCGAGUCAAAGUUAUUGCGUGUUUGUUUGCCUGGCAUUUCCAUUUGAUCAAAUGGUGCAAGAUAUCAAGGAGUUUUCCUGAGUUAGGAUAAAGGUCCAGUUUAUAUUAAGCUUUUUCUCAAGAUCGACAACAUGGGUUGCUCUGUAUAGAGUACACUGACAGAGAGAGGAGAGGGAGAACUUGAUCGGGUUGGCAGCUGAGACGAAGGCCACUUCAUCUUUUCGACGAAAUUAGUUUCUAUUGCGAUGAGAGAGAGAGAGUGCGGAUCCGGAAAAGCAAGGGACGGUCAAUCCAUAGAGGUUAUCCAAUUAACCGAUAAGUUGUUUUUCAAAAAGCAGGGACACUGUUCAUUACCGAUUUUGUCCUACUUUCUUAUACUGUAUUCUACUUUCUUCUACGUCUUUCCCUUUUCUUCUUCUCUAUUAUAUUUCAGAGGGCAUCUACAUUUCUGAGUAGGGAUUUGACAAACCUCUGUCACCAAAAUCUCUGGAACCGAACCCUGAAUCUGGCACAAACUUUGCUCCAACAAGUUCCUUGCUUUAUAAAAUCUUGAGACUAGAACAUAAUAACAUCCCCGGUAAACGCCUGCAAGUGAUUAGGGAGAAUUAUCAACCAUAGGAUGAGUGGGAGCUACAGAGAUCAUAUUGAACCGGAUACACCCAGCAUAUAACAAGAAAAAAAAACUCUAGUAUAUUAUACAUGUGAUGAUAUAUAUUUUCUAUAUAUUAUAUGCCGGUUGCAAUUUAAACAGUGUAGCUACAGUAACGUGUUGAGCUAAAAUACUUUUUUGGCAGUUGCAAUUAAAACAGUGUAGCUACAGUACGUGCUGGGUUACAGUGACAGAAUUUUUUUUCUUUGCGCGGCGGUAAAAAAAAAAAAGCUUUUUUGGGGAUAAUACUGUGUUACAAUAUAAAAAAUAAGGCUUGAAAACGCCCGUCAUAGUAUAUACUUUUAUUUUUUAUAUAUUAUAUGCCGAUUGCAAUUUAAACAGUGUAGCUACAGUAUCGCUACAGUACACGCUGGGGUACAACGACGGGCUCGGGCUCUUAAUUGGGAAAGAUAGUAUUGCCCCCCAUAGGGCAGCGAGGAGCAUGCUGUGGAACCAUUGUUGCCAGCGCUUUCCCGGGCUAUCUCACGAAGAUCCAUAAUAGGAAAGAUGCCAGUGGUUUCGGGAUCCCGUAGAAAAUGCUUCGUUUAUGCCUCGGGUAUUAGCCACCACCACUUCACCUCUUUGUUGG
Argentina anserina (silverweed cinquefoil) is the source of this 1860-nucleotide long non-coding RNA. RefSeq lists it as uncharacterized. The transcript is spliced from 7 exons. The record is from RefSeq and is a predicted model, not a curated record. Lineage: Eukaryota; Viridiplantae; Streptophyta; Magnoliopsida; Rosales; Rosaceae.